AAAAGAUGGCUUCUCGCUAUCACUUCUGGAUGGACCGCGGUGCAUUAGCUUGUUGGUGGGGUAAUGGCCUACCAAGGCGAUGAUGCAUAGCCGAGUUGAGAGACUGAUCGGCCACAAUGGGACUGAGACACGGCCCAUACUCCUACGGGAGGCAGCAGUAGGGAAUCUUCCACAAUGGGCGCAAGCCUGAUGGAGCAACACCGCGUGAGUGAAGAAGGGUUUCGGCUCGUAAAGCUCUGUUGUUAAAGAAGAACACGUAUGAGAGUAACCAUUCAUACGUUGACGGUAUUUAACCAGAAAGUCACGGCUAACUACGUGCCAGCAGCCGCGGUAAUACGUAGGUGGCAAGCGUUAUCCGGAUUUAUUGGGCGUAAAGAGAGUGCAGGCGGUUUUCUAAGUCUGAUGUGAAAGCCUUCGGCUUAACCGGAGAAGUGCAUCGGAAACUGGAUAACUUGAGUGCAGAAGAGGGUAGUGGAACUCCAUGUGUAGCGGUGGAAUGCGUAGAUAUAUGGAAGAACACCAGUGGCGAAGGCGGCUACCUGGUCUGCAACUGACGCUGAGACUCGAAAGCAUGGGUAGCGAACAGGAUUAGAUACCCUGGUAGUCCAUGCCGUAAACGAUGAGUGCUAGGUGUUGGAGGGUUUCCGCCCUUCAGUGCCGGAGCUAACGCAUUAAGCACUCCGCCUGGGGAGUACGACCGCAAGGUUGAAACUCAAAGGAAUUGACGGGGGCCCGCACAAGCGGUGGAGCAUGUGGUUUAAUUCGAAGCUACGCGAAGAACCUUACCAGGUCUUGACAUCUUGCGCCAACCCUAGAGAUAGGGCGUUUCCUUCGGGAACGCAAUGACAGGUGGU
RNAcentral lists this ribosomal RNA (854 nucleotides) under Limosilactobacillus fermentum. RNAcentral's name for it is "bacterial SSU rRNA". It matches the Rfam family "Bacterial small subunit ribosomal RNA", at positions 202 to 1042 of the family's 1533-position model. The record is from RNAcentral. Lineage: Bacteria; Bacillati; Bacillota; Bacilli; Lactobacillales; Lactobacillaceae.